This 254-nucleotide ribosomal RNA is filed under the name uncultured bacterium. Its description in RNAcentral is "partial 16S ribosomal RNA". It matches the Rfam family "Bacterial small subunit ribosomal RNA", at positions 524 to 776 of the family's 1533-position model. The record is from RNAcentral.
UACGAAGGGGGCUAGCGUUGUUCGGAAUCACUGGGCGUAGAGCGCACGUAGGCGGAUCGUUAAGUCGGGGGUGAAAUCCCAGAGCUCAACUCUGGAACUGCCUUCGAUACUGGCGAUCUUCGAGUCCGGGAGAGGUGAGUGGAACUCCGAGUGUAGAGGUGAAAUUCGUAGAUAUUCGGAAGAACACCAGUGGCGAAGGCGGCUCACUGGCCCGGUACUGACGCUGAGGUGCGAAAGCGUGGGGAGCAAACAGG